UCGGUUUCUAGUAAAACUUGC
This 21-nucleotide microRNA is filed under the name Physcomitrium patens. RNAcentral's name for it is "ppt-miR1070". The record is from miRBase by way of RNAcentral. Lineage: Eukaryota; Viridiplantae; Streptophyta; Bryopsida; Funariales; Funariaceae.